CUAAGUUUGAUGGCGACCGGCGCACGGGUGAGUAACACGUAUCCAACCUGCCGAUGACUCGGGGAUAGCCUUUCGAAAGAAAGAUUAAUACCGGAUAGUAUACGAAUAUCGCAUGAUAUUUUUAUUAAAGAAUUUCGGUUAUCGAUGGGGAUGCGUUCCAUUAGUUUGUUGGCGGGGUAACGGCCCACCAAGACUACGAUGGAUAGGGGUUCUGAGAGGAAGGUCCCCCACAUUGGAACUGAGACACGGUCCAAACUCCUACGGGAGGCAGCAUG
Molecule: ribosomal RNA, 275 nt
Filed under: uncultured bacterium
Lineage: Bacteria
Description: partial 16S ribosomal RNA
Rfam family: Bacterial small subunit ribosomal RNA
Source: RNAcentral